AUGUUUGAACGCAGUCUCCAGGGCUCCACCUGCACAGGCUGCCAAGAAAGCUGGAGCUCUGGCCAUCUCUUCCCAGCCAUCUCGGGGCUCCUCCACGGGAAGUGGGCUCAGAGGAGCGGAGGGGCCCAGCUGCAGCGAGAGCCCGGGCAGGGCCACGCUCCUGGCUCCCAUAGCUGGUGGACAUCCAGCAGCGGCGAGGUCGUUUCUGAUGGCCCCCAGCCCCUCUGCUGCCUCCUGCCUCCCGCCAAUCUUCCUGGCCUUGCCCCUCAGAUAAGGGGAGACGCACGAGCUCACUGCCUUGUCCCAGCCUGCACCACCGCCCAAGGGGCGGCUGCCCGGGGCCUCCCUCCGAGGCCGGCCAGCCCCUUGGCCAGACUCAGAGGGCUCGGCAGGCGGCUGGGGAGCGAGAGGCCGGGGCUCAGUUCCAGCCCCAUGAGGACUCUUGCCCUUUCUGGCCUCCGGGCCUUUGCUCUCACUGGCCCUGAUGCCCUGUUCCCAUCUGGAAAACUCCCCACACCCUGGGGGAUCCCCCCCUUCUAUGAAGAGUGUGCUGUCACUUCUUCUGAGCCUGUACACGGCUGUGUCCCCUACCCGUCACAGCUGGGUGGCCUACUACCCCCAGCCCAGGGCAUCGCCAGGGCCUGGCACAGCGUCGGUGGUCCUGCCAUAAGCCGCCACCCCUUGUGAGCUCCUCUGAAGCCAGGCCGUCUGGAGGCCCUCCCUCUACAUCACCCCAUCUGCCUGCAAGAGAUGGAGGGUUUGGCCACCCCUCUCGGCAAGUCGCCCGGGCCGGGACCUGGAAGAGGCUCGUCCGGGCCUUCAGGGAGCCCCACAUCGCCUCCAGAAGAGGAAAGGAGAGCUGCCCCUCCUAAGCCGUCAAUUUCCCACUCCGCCUCCGGUGAUCUAAACCCAAGUUGGAGUCCGAGAGCUAAAAUAAUAUACAUUCUCCGGUGACUAAUGUGGGGGGAAAUCCAGGGCUUCUCAGGAAAUAAGAGUCCACAGGCUGUGUUACCUUCUGCUGGGAAACUCCCAGUUCCCACCAGAAAAACAAGAAAGACCAUCAAUUUCCAGGCAGCCGAGCCAGUGCAGGGCCCAGUCUGCGAGCGCGUUCCGCCGCCGGCGGCACGCGGAACACCUGUUCUGCAGCGGGAACAGACCUCUUCCGAAUAAACACACGGCCUCGGGGAAGGAGCCUGGCUGG
RNAcentral lists this long non-coding RNA (1201 nucleotides) under Sus scrofa (pig). RNAcentral describes it as "lncRNA (ENSSSCG00015036032.1)". Lineage: Eukaryota; Metazoa; Chordata; Mammalia; Artiodactyla; Suidae. The record is from RNAcentral.